This 921-nucleotide ribosomal RNA is filed under the name uncultured bacterium. RNAcentral's name for it is "bacterial SSU rRNA". It matches the Rfam family "Bacterial small subunit ribosomal RNA", at positions 51 to 977 of the family's 1533-position model. The record is from RNAcentral.
AUACAUGCAGUCGAGCGGACAGAAGGGAGCUUGCUCCCGGAUGUUAGCGGCGGACGGGUGAGUAACACGUGGGUAACCUGCCUGUAAGACUGGGAUAACUCCGGGAAACCGGAGCUAAUACCGGAUAGUUCCUUGAACCGCAUGGUUCAAGGAUGAAAGACGGUUUCGGCUGUCACUUACAGAUGGACCCGCGGCGCAUUAGCUAGUUGGUGAGGUAACGGCUCACCAAGGGCAACGAUGCGUAGCCGACCUGAGAGGGUGAUCGGCCACACUGGGACUGAGACACGGCCCAGACUCCUACGGGAGGCAGCAGUAGGGAAUCUUCCGCAAUGGACGAAAGUCUGACGGAGCAACGCCGCGUGAGUGAUGAAGGUUUUCGGAUCGUAAAGCUCUGUUGUUAGGGAAGAACAAGUGCAAGAGUAACUGCUUGCACCUUGACGGUACCUAACCAGAAAGCCACGGCUAACUACGUGCCAGCAGCCGCGGUAAUACGUAGGUGGCAAGCGUUGUCCGGAAUUAUUGGGCGUAAAGGGCUCGCAGGCGGUUUCUUAAGUCUGAUGUGAAAGCCCCCGGCUCAACCGGGGAGGGUCAUUGGAAACUGGGAAACUUGAGUGCAGAAGAGGAGAGUGGAAUUCCACGUGUAGCGGUGAAAUGCGUAGAGAUGUGGAGGAACACCAGUGGCGAAAGCGACUCUCUGGUCUGUAACUGACGCUGAGAGCGAAAGCGUGGGGAGCGAACAGAUUAGAUACCCUGGUAGUCCACGCCGUAAACGAUGAGUGCUAAGUGUUAGGGGGUUCCGCCCCUUAGUGCUGCAGCUAACGCAUUAGCACUCGCCUGGGGAGUACGUCGCAGACUGAACUCAAGAUGACUGGGCCCGCACAGCGUGAGCAUGUGUUUAUCGAGCACGCGAGACUACAGUCU